ACGGGAGGCAGCAGUGAGGAAUAUUGGUCAAUGGGCGGAAGCCUGAACCAGCCAUCUCGCGUGCAGGACUACGGCCCUACGGGUCUUAAACUGCUUUUAUGGGGGGAUAAAGUCGGGCAUUCGUGUCCGUUUGCAGGUACCCCAUGAAUAAGGAUCGGCUAACUCCGUGCCAGCAGCCGCGGUAAUACGGAGGAUCCGAGCGUUAUCCGGAUUUAUUGGGUUUAAAGGGUGCGCAGGCGGUCGAUUAAGUCAGUGGUCAAAUCACGGUGCUCAACGCCGUUCCGCCAUUGAUACUGGUUGACUUGAUUCCGGUCGAGGCAGGCGGAAUUCGUAGUGUAGCGGUGAAAUGCAUAGAUAUUACGAAGAACUCCGAUUGCGUAGGCAGCUUACCAGGCCGGCAAUGACGCUCAUGCACGAAAGUGCGGGGAUCGAACAGGAUUAGAUACCCUGGUA
Molecule: ribosomal RNA, 453 nt
Filed under: uncultured Sphingobacterium sp.
Lineage: Bacteria; Pseudomonadati; Bacteroidota; Sphingobacteriia; Sphingobacteriales; Sphingobacteriaceae
Description: partial 16S ribosomal RNA
Rfam family: Bacterial small subunit ribosomal RNA
Source: RNAcentral